GUCAGAUAUGCGGCGAGCCUGAUCCAGCAUGCCGCGUGAGUGAUGAAGGCCUUAGGGUUGUAAAGCUCUUUUACCAGGGAUGAUAAUGACAGUACCUGGAGAAUAAGCUCCGGCUAACUCCGUGCCAGCAGCCGCGGUAAU
This 141-nucleotide ribosomal RNA is filed under the name uncultured freshwater bacterium. Its description in RNAcentral is "partial 16S ribosomal RNA". It matches the Rfam family "Bacterial small subunit ribosomal RNA", at positions 359 to 524 of the family's 1533-position model. The record is from RNAcentral.